GACGAAGGGGGCUAGCGUUGUUCGGAAUUACUGGGCGUAAAGCGCGUGUAGGCGGUUGCCCAAGUCGGGUGUGAAAGCCUUGAGCUCAACUCAAGAAAUGCACUCGGUACUGGGUGACUAGAGGACCGGAGAGGAUAGUGGAAUUCCCAGUGUAGUGGUGAAAUACGUAGAGAUUGGGAAGAACACCAGUGGCGAAGGCGGCUAUCUGGACGGUUUCUGACGCUAAGACGCGAAAGCGUGGGGAGCAAACAUG
RNAcentral lists this ribosomal RNA (253 nucleotides) under uncultured bacterium. RNAcentral's name for it is "partial 16S ribosomal RNA". It matches the Rfam family "Bacterial small subunit ribosomal RNA", at positions 524 to 776 of the family's 1533-position model. The record is from RNAcentral.